This is a microRNA precursor of Equus caballus (horse), 143 nucleotides long. The record is from Ensembl. Lineage: Eukaryota; Metazoa; Chordata; Mammalia; Perissodactyla; Equidae.
UCUUAAACAAUUGGGUCUGAACAAGAGCGUAUCAAGCGUUUGGCGGUGUCUGGCGUAGAGCAGGAGGGCAGUGGAGGGCGGCUGUUUUACUCCUGGCCCCGACUGAGAAGAGGCUUUGUGAGUUACGUGGUUUUGCCCAAAAU